AGUCACGAUGCCAUGUUCGUAUAAAGGUACACUGAGGAGAGAGAUGCGUGGUCUGCAGCCCUCCAGCCUCCAGCCAUCUCCACCCUGUGAAAGGGUAGUGAUGGGUUGACAAGCACCAGUUGACAGAGAGUCAAAUUAUCAACAAGAUUUAAAAAAAUAAAAUCAUCCCAGCACCUCUUCCUGAGAAGACCAACGGGAAGAGCUCACAGCUCACAGACGAAGACUACUCUAUACCUCAAGAGUUUCUGCUGGAAAUAUAGUUUGCAAACUGGAAAUCCGGGGUGCGACAACAUUGGAAGACAGGUAAAACAACAGAGCCCAUCACCAUCCUUACUUCUGGUUCUGCUGCCUCCACCAAGCUGUCAUGGUAGAGGUUAACAAAGACAGAAAAGCUGGACAUGGUCCAAAUAGAGUGGAAACUGUGAAGCUCUGACGCUGCAGGUGCCUCAGCCAGAAAGGACGUUCUCAGCACCCUACAAACAGGCCUGUGCUUGCCAGAAAACUCAAGGCCGUAGAAAUGACAAAACACGAUCACCAACAAGGUGCUGCUGAACUUUCAGAAAGAAGUAUCACAAGAAAGUUCAACAUAGAGACGUUUCCACAGUCACAAUCCAUUCUUCAUGUGCCAGAAAUAAAUGUGAACUGUCACCCCGAUUCUUCUUCAUGUAUCCAGAAUACAUGUGACUCAUCACCCCUUCUGACUGGCAUCUAUUCAUGUGGAAUGUAAGGCUGUCUCCUAAGGAACCUAUAGCAGCAACUUCCGUAACAGCCAUUGAGAGUAACAGAAAGUAAAAGGGCAAUAGCUGGGUCAAAGGGGACCUAGUUCACUGAGGAAUCUCCAGACUGAUCUCCACAGUGGUUGCACCAAUCUGUACCCCACCAACAGUGCAGAGUUUCCUUUUUUUCCCUAUGAUGAGUAUGAUCAUCAUGUAUAUCUAAAAUGUACCAAUAAACUUAAUAAAAACAAAAAAAAGGAAAAAGAAAGUAAGGUAAGAUGG
RNAcentral lists this long non-coding RNA (998 nucleotides) under Chinchilla lanigera (long-tailed chinchilla). RNAcentral's name for it is "lncRNA (ENSCLAG00000023826.1)". The record is from RNAcentral. Lineage: Eukaryota; Metazoa; Chordata; Mammalia; Rodentia; Chinchillidae.